CAGGCCCCUUCGGGGGUACACGAGUGGCGAACGGGUGAGUAACACGUGGGUAAUCUGCCCUGCACUUCGGGAUAAGCCUGGGAAACCGGGUCUAAUACCGGAUAUGAACUCCUGCCGCAUGGUGGGGGUUGGAAAGUUUUUCGGUGCAGGAUGAGCCCGCGGCCUAUCAGCUUGUUGGUGGGGUAAUGGCCUACCAAGGCGACGACGGGUAGCCGGCCUGAGAGGGUGAUCGGCCACACUGGGACUGAGACACGGCCCAGACUCCUACGGGAGGCAGCAGUGGGGAAUAUUGCACAAUGGGCGAAAGCCUGAUGCAGCGACGCCGCGUGGGGGAUGACGGUCUUCGGAUUGUAAACCCCUUUCAGUAGGGACGAAGCGCAAGUGACGGUACCUGCAGAAGAAGCACCGGCUAACUACGUGCCAGCAGCCGCGGUAAUACGUAGGGUGCGAGCGUUGUCCGGAAUUACUGGGCGUAAAGAGCUCGUAGGCGGUUUGUCACGUCGUCUGUGAAAUCCCUCGGCUUAACCGGGGGCGUGCAGGCGAUACGGGCAGACUUGAGUACUACAGGGGAGACUGGAAUUCCUGGUGUAGCGGUGAAAUGCCGCAGAU
RNAcentral lists this ribosomal RNA (609 nucleotides) under uncultured bacterium. RNAcentral's name for it is "bacterial SSU rRNA". It matches the Rfam family "Bacterial small subunit ribosomal RNA", at positions 71 to 695 of the family's 1533-position model. The record is from RNAcentral.